GCUCCUCACGCUCCAACUCUUUUUCGGGAAGGAGACAAAGGGGCACUGUGGACAAAAAAUCCAUUCCCACCUUGUGUGUAUUGUAACAAACAACCAAUUUCACCUUUUUUGAAUUUUUUUGCAAGACCGUCUGAAUGCAUCUCAUUAGCCAUUUUGCGAAAGCAGAAAGGAAAAAAAUGAAAUACAACUUUCAACAACGGAUCUCUUGGCUCUCGCAUCGAUGAAGAACGCAGCGAAACGCGAUAUGUAAUGUGAAUUGCAGAAUUCAGUGAAUCAUCGAAUCUUUGAACGCACAUUGCGCUCUUUGGUAUUCCGAAGAGCAUGCUUGUUUGAGUAUCAGAGAACCCAUCUCGAACUUGGUUCUUUGUCUUUUCGAAGAUAAAGGACUUCGGGGAUAUGAGUAAUCUCGGUACUUUCCUUUUCAGCUUGCUGGAAAGGGAGUUUUUGUCCCGGGUUACUUGAAAGGAGGUUAUUGCUUCCAUUCCUCCCUUGGGUUCGUAUUCCUUGGCCUGAAAGCAUAUCUAUUUAGUCCCGUCAAAAGGAUUAUUGCUCUUUGCUGAAAGUGCUGAAGGAGAACCUCAAGAGAGGAGUGUACCUCUUACAGGGACUCUCACAAACUCGAUCUCAAAUCAAGUAAGACUACCCGCUGAACUUAAGCAUAUCAAUAAGCGGGAGGAAGAAGGAUCAUUCACAAUUACAAAGUGCUCUCACGCUCCAACUCUUUUUCGGGAGGAGACAAGGGGCACUGUGGACAAAAAUCCAUUCCACCUUGUGUGUAUUGUACAAACACCAUUUCACUUUUUUGAAUUUUUUGCAGACGUCUGAAAUGCUCUAUAGCCAUUUUGCGAACAAAGGAAAAAUGAAUACACUUCACACCGAUAUCUGGCUCUCUCUCAAUAAAACACCCAACCGUUGUAUGUG
Molecule: ribosomal RNA, 921 nt
Filed under: Lunasporangiospora selenospora
Lineage: Eukaryota; Fungi; Mortierellomycota; Mortierellomycetes; Mortierellales; Mortierellaceae
Description: eukaryotic LSU rRNA
Rfam family: 5.8S ribosomal RNA (bases 186-339)
Source: RNAcentral